GAUCCUGGCUCAGAGUGAACGCUGGCGGUAGGCCUAACACAUGCAAGUCGAUCGGCAGCACAGGAGAGCUUGCUCUCUGGGUGGCGAGUGGCGGACGGGUGAGGAAUGCAUCGGAAUCUACUCUUUCGUGGGGGAUAACGUAGGGAAACUUACGCUAAUACCGCAUACGACCUACGGGUGAAAGCCGGGGACCUUCGGGCCUGGCGCGAAUGAAUGAGCCGAUGCCCGAUUAGCUAGUUGGCGGGGUAAGAGCCCACCAAGGCGACGAUCGGUAGCUGGUCUGAGAGGAUGAUCAGCCACACUGGAACUGAGACACGGUCCAGACUCCUACGGGAGGCAGCAGUGGGGAAUAUUGGACAAUGGGCGCAAGCCUGAUCCAGCCAUACCGCGUGGGUGAAGAAGGCCUUCGGGUUGUAAAGCCCUUUUGUUGGGAAAGAAAAGCAAUCGGUUAAUACCCGGUUGUUCUGACGGUACCCAAAGA
This 481-nucleotide ribosomal RNA is filed under the name Stenotrophomonas nitritireducens. Its description in RNAcentral is "bacterial SSU rRNA". It matches the Rfam family "Bacterial small subunit ribosomal RNA", at positions 15 to 485 of the family's 1533-position model. Lineage: Bacteria; Pseudomonadati; Pseudomonadota; Gammaproteobacteria; Lysobacterales; Lysobacteraceae. The record is from RNAcentral.